This 550-nucleotide ribosomal RNA is filed under the name uncultured bacterium. RNAcentral's name for it is "bacterial SSU rRNA". It matches the Rfam family "Bacterial small subunit ribosomal RNA", at positions 355 to 896 of the family's 1533-position model. The record is from RNAcentral.
UAGGGAAUCUUCGGCAAUGGACGGAAGUCUGACCGAGCAACGCCGCGUGAGUGAAGAAGGUUUUCGGAUCGUAAAGCUCUGUUGUAAGAGAAGAACGAGUGUGAGAGUGGAAAGUUCACACUGUGACGGUAUCUUACCAGAAAGGGACGGCUAACUACGUGCCAGCAGCCGCGGUAAUACGUAGGUCCCGAGCGUUGUCCGGAUUUAUUGGGCGUAAAGCGAGCGCAGGCGGUUAGAUAAGUCUGAAGUUAAAGGCUGUGGCUUAACCAUAGUACGCUUUGGAAACUGUUUAACUUGCGUGCAAGAGGGGAGAGUGGAAUUCCAUGUGUAGCGGUGAAAUGCGUAGAUAUAUGGAGGAACACCGGUGGCGAAAGCGGCUCUCUGGCUUGUAACUGACGCUGAGGCUCGAAAGCGUGGGGAGCAAACAGGAUUAGAUACCCUGGUAGUCCACGCCGUAAACGAUGAGUGCUAGGUGUUAGACCCUUUCCGGGGUUUAGUGCCGUAGCUAACGCAUUAAGCANUCCGCCUGGGGAGUACGACCGCAAGGUUG